CAAAAAUUUUUAUGUCUUAGGUUAAAGAAAGACUACACUUUCCAGAUUUCUUGCAGCUUGCUGCCAUGUGGCUAAGUUUAGGCCAAUAUAAUGAAAGUGGAAGUGGUGUGUGCCACUUCUGAGCCUUGGCCUUAACAUACAACUCAGUGCUUCUCUGGUCCUUUCCUUCCGUUUUCCCCGUGGGCUGCAAUGUGGAUGUGGUAGCAGCCAGCUUCAGCUCAACAAAGACAACACCCUAGGGGCUGGUGAACAGCAGGAUGGAAAGGACUUGGGUCUCUAAAUGAACACGUGAAGCAGAGCCACCCACCAUCCUGGACCAUUCGCCUCCAGACUAUUAGAGACAGGGUUUCUCCAUGUUCCCCAAGCUGGUCUCAAACCUCUGAGCUCAAGCAAUCCUCCCGCCUCAGCCUUCCAAGGUGCUGGGAUUACAAGCGUGAGCCACUGCACCCAGCCCAAAUUCAUCUUUCAAGGAGGAUUUUUAGGUUUAUUAAUCAGCAAUCAUGGACUAGGAGUACCUCCUGCUCAAUCUAGGGAAGAGUAAUAGGAACAUGGAGUCACUUUUAAUCUGCAUGAAACUUCACUGGGGUUCAACUGCUUCAUCGGCAGAAGGAAUAAUUAGACAGAUGAUGAAGUCCCUUCUAGUGCUAAAACUUGGCUUCUUUGACACAAUCCACCAGAUUUCCAGGUUAGUGCCACAAACGUUCCCCAAGAGACUACUAGAGACCUCCUCUGUCGGGGUCAGGAUUGAAAUGAAAACAAGACACAGAUUCUGCUACUGAAGAACUCAUUAUCCUAUGGGUUAACGUGGAUUGAGAUCAACUUUCUCCUUUUGAUAUAAGAUAGUAAGGCACUAAGCUGGAGGUGUUUGGGAAGGAUUGACUAUAACAAUAAAAAUAUAAGGUACUAGAG
This is a long non-coding RNA of Pan troglodytes (chimpanzee), 909 nucleotides long. RefSeq lists it as uncharacterized. The transcript is spliced from 3 exons. Lineage: Eukaryota; Metazoa; Chordata; Mammalia; Primates; Hominidae. The record is from RefSeq and is a predicted model, not a curated record.